RNAcentral lists this ribosomal RNA (274 nucleotides) under uncultured bacterium. RNAcentral's name for it is "partial 16S ribosomal RNA". It matches the Rfam family "Bacterial small subunit ribosomal RNA", at positions 523 to 796 of the family's 1533-position model. The record is from RNAcentral.
AUACGGAGGGAGCAAGCGUUAUUCGGAAUCACUGGGCGUAAAGGACGCGUAGGCGGGUUUGUAAGUCAGGUGUGAAAUCCUACAGCUCAACUGUAGAACUGCACUUGAAACUACAGACCUAGAGUAUGGAAGGGGCAGAUGGAAUUAGUGGUGUAGGGGUAAAAUCCGUAGAUAUCACUAGGAAUACCGAAAGCGAAGGCGAUCUGCUGGGACAUUACUGACGCUGAGGCGUGAAAGCGUGGGGAGCGAACAGGAUUAGAAACCCUGGUAGUCC